RNAcentral lists this ribosomal RNA (253 nucleotides) under uncultured bacterium. Its description in RNAcentral is "partial 16S ribosomal RNA". It matches the Rfam family "Bacterial small subunit ribosomal RNA", at positions 524 to 776 of the family's 1533-position model. The record is from RNAcentral.
UACAGAGGGUGCAAGCGUUGCUCGGAUUUACUGGGCGUAAAGCGUACGCAGACGGUAAGAAAGGUCGGAUGUGAAAGCCCCGGGCUCAACCCUGGAACUGCAUCCGAAACCAUCUUGCUAGAGUAUGGGAGAGGAAAGUGGAAUUCCUGGUGUAGAGGUGAAAUUCGUAGAUAUCAGGAGGAACACCGGUGGCGAAGGCGGGUCUCUGGGCCGAUACUGACGCUGAGGAGCGAAAGCGUGGGGAGCGAACAGG